This is a long non-coding RNA of Humulus lupulus (European hop), 554 nucleotides long. RefSeq lists it as uncharacterized. NCBI's taxonomy places the organism in Eukaryota, Viridiplantae, Streptophyta, Magnoliopsida, Rosales, Cannabaceae. The transcript is spliced from 3 exons. The record is from RefSeq and is a predicted model, not a curated record.
AUACAUGUGUCCUUUUUUUAUUUUCUCUAAAGUAACCUAUAUCAUUCCCUCAACUCUCUUCUCUUAGCCUCACCCUCUCUCUUCUCGCCUCUUUAUCUCCCUCACAUCUAACCUCUCGGAUCUCUCUCCAAGUCUUCUCUUGCAGGUGGCUGGGGUAGGAGUCUCGACGGAAACGAAAAUGGCGACGGGGACGGGGCUCGACCGAAUAAUCAACACUCCAUCGUUCUGUAGACUGCUGCAACAAUCAACAGCUUCGCAUGUGCUCCAUUCAUCCUCUCGACCUCUCUCAACUCUCGUGGCAUGAUGCGGGAACUUAUGAUGUUCAUACCAAACCUGGAGGUCCCAAUGGCUCAAUCAGGAAUGAACAUGAAUUAGGCCAUGGAGCAAAUAGUGGCUUGAAAAUUUCCAUUAACUUAUGUGGUGAGCUUUUCCAAUCGAUCUAAUCUUUUUCAGAUGUAAAUUAUGCUUUUUAAUUUGUUACAGUAACCUUGUUAUUAUGAACACUUAGAAUCUUGUGCAACUGGGAUAUCUGACUGAAACUAAUCUAGAUUUCU